Molecule: transfer RNA, 84 nt
Filed under: Myxococcales bacterium
Lineage: Bacteria; Pseudomonadati; Myxococcota; Myxococcia; Myxococcales
Description: tRNA-Leu
Rfam family: tRNA
About the family: Transfer RNA (tRNA) molecules are approximately 80 nucleotides in length. Their secondary structure includes four short double-helical elements and three loops (D, anti-codon, and T loops). Further hydrogen bonds mediate the characteristic L-shaped molecular structure. tRNAs have two regions of fundamental functional importance: the anti-codon, which is responsible for specific mRNA codon recognition, and the 3' end, to which the tRNAs corresponding amino acid is attached (by aminoacyl-tRNA synthetases). tRNAs cope with the degeneracy of the genetic code in two manners: having more than one tRNA (with a specific anti-codon) for a particular amino acid; and 'wobble' base-pairing, i.e. permitting non-standard base-pairing at the 3rd anti-codon position.
Source: RNAcentral
GCGGAAGUGGCGGAAUUGGCAUACGCGCCAGACUAAGGAUCUGGUGGGGUAAAACCCGUGGAGGUUCGAGUCCUCUCUUCCGCA